This is an RNA transcript of Manis pentadactyla (Chinese pangolin), 3513 nucleotides long. It is a transcript of the gene named tubulin gamma complex component 4, with no coding region annotated. The record is from RefSeq and is a predicted model, not a curated record. The transcript is spliced from 19 exons. Lineage: Eukaryota; Metazoa; Chordata; Mammalia; Pholidota; Manidae.
CGACCGUCUACAGAGGAGCCGCCGCCGGAGCAAGCGGGUGGGCCCAGCCGAGCGCGGCGCCCUUCCGGGACGCUACGCGCUGACCCCUUCCUCCGUUCCCGUCCUCUCCUCCCGCAGCAGUUGUCUCGGAAAUUCGGAUUCAGGACGACCGCCCAUCCCAGGGGCCUGUGCACGUGCCGAGAACAGGACAUUUGCCUCUGUGGUCGCCCGGAGGGGCCCUGGAGGAGGAGGGGGCGACGGAUACAGGGAAUCGAGGUCCGCCGUGGGAAUGAUCCACGAACUGCUCUUGGCUCUGAGCGGGUACCCAGGGUCCAUUUUUACCUGGAACAAACGGAGUGGCCUCCAGGUGUCCCAGGACUUUCCAUUUCUCCAUCCCAGUGAAACCAGCGUGCUGAAUCGACUCUGCAGGCUCGGCACAGACUAUAUUCGCUUCACUGAGUUCAUUGAACAGUACACAGGCCAUGUGCAACAACAGGAUCACCAUGCAUCUCAGCAGGGCCAAGGUGGGUUACAUGGAAUCUACCUAAGGGCUUUCUGCACAGGGCUGGAUUCAGUUUUGCAGCCUUAUCGUCAAGCACUGCUGGAUUUGGAACAAGAGUUCCUGGCGGACCCCCAUCUGUCCAUAUCACAUGUCAAUUACUCCUUAGAUCAGUUCCAGCUCCUUUUUCCUUCUGUGAUGGUUGUAGUAGAACAAAUUAAAAGUCAAAAGCUCCUAAAACCUUUGGAAUAUCCUAAUGGUAAGAAGAUAAAGAUUCAUGGUUGUCAAAUCCUGGAAACAGUAUACAAGCACAGCUGUGGAGGUUUGCCUCCUGUUCGCAGUGCAUUAGAAAAAAUCCUGGCCGUGUGUCAUGGGGUCAUGUAUAAGCAGCUUUCAGCCUGGAUGCUACAUGGACUCCUCUUGGAUCAGCAUGAAGAAUUCUUUAUUAAACAGGGUCCAUCUUCUGGUAAUGUCAGUGCCCAGCCAGAAGAGGAUGAGGAGGAUUUGGGCAUUGGUGGACUGACAGGAAAGCAGUUGAAAGAGCUCCAGGACUUGCGCCUGAUAGAAGAAGAGAACAUGUUGGCACCAUCUCUAAAGCAGUUUUCCCUGCGGGUGGAGAUUUUGCCAUCCUACAUCCCAGUGAGGGUUGCUGAAAAAAUCCUGUUUGUUGGAGAAUCUGUCCAGAUGUUUGAGAAUCAAAAUGUAAACUUGACUAGAAAAGGAUCCAUUUUGAAAAACCAAGAGGACACUUUUGCUGCGGAGCUGCAUCGCCUCAAGCAGCAGCCACUCUUCAGCCUGGUGGAUUUUGAGCAGGUGGUGGAUCGUAUUCGUAGUACUGUGGCUGAGCAUCUCUGGAAGCUGAUGGUAGAAGAGUCUGACUUACUGGGUCAGCUGAAGAUCAUUAAAGACUUUUACCUUCUGGGACGUGGAGAACUGUUUCAGGCCUUCAUCGACACAGCUCAACACAUGUUAAAAACACCACCCACUGCAGUAACUGAACAUGAUGUGAACGUGGCCUUCCAACAGUCGGCACACAAGGUGCUGCUAGAUGAUGACAACCUCCUCCCUCUGUUGCACUUGACAAUUGAGUAUCACGGAAAGGAGCAUAAAGAAGCUAUGCAGGCAAGAGAAGGGCCUUCUCGAGAAACUUCUCCCCGGGAAACCCCUGCGUCUGGCUGGGCAGCCCUUGGUCUUUCCUACAAAGUGCAAUGGCCGCUACAUAUUCUUUUUACCCCUGCUGUCCUGGAAAAGUACAAUGUUGUUUUCAAGUACUUACUGAGCGUGCGCCGGGUCCAGGCCGAGCUGCAGCACUGCUGGGCCCUGCAGAUGCAGCGCAAGCACCUCAAGUCCAACCAGACCGAUGCAGUCAAGUGGCGCCUGAGAAAUCACAUGGCCUUCUUGGUGGAUAAUCUUCAGUACUACCUGCAGGUAGAUGUGCUGGAGUCUCAAUUCUCACAGCUGCUUCAUCAAAUCAAUUCUACCCGAGAUUUUGAAAGCAUCCGAUUGGCUCAUGACCACUUCCUAAGCAAUUUGCUGGCUCAGUCCUUUAUCUUGUUGAAACCGGUGUUUCACUGCCUGAAUGAAAUCCUAGAUCUCUGUCAUAGCUUUUGCUUGCUGGUCAGUCAGAACCUGGGCCCGCUGGAUGAACGUGGGGCCGCCCAGCUAAGCAUCCUAGUGAAGGGACAGCAGCUGAGUCUAACAGGAAUGACAGUUUGAACCCUCCUCUCUGCAGGGCUUUAGCCGCCAGUCUUCGCUUCUAUUCAAGAUUCUCUCCAGUGUUCGGAAUCAUCAGAUCAAUUCGGAUUUGGCUCAACUACUGCUACGACUAGAUUAUAACAAGUAUUACACCCAGGCUGGUGGAACUCUGGGCAGUUUCGGAAUGUGAAAAUCUCUGCAAUCUCACCACAUUCCCAAGUCUCUUAACAGAAGAUUAACAAACAUCCCAUUCUCUAGCCACUCACUGACUGUCUGCAGCCGACUGAAAGGGCUCUACCUUUUCUCCUAGAAGGUAUUACUAAACAUCCAUGGGUACAUCCUUCCCAUUCAGAAGGGUCUAUUCCGCCUUAGGGGAGUUCUUAAUUCGCCCACCAAAUGGGUAUGUGGGGUGGGCUUUCCCUCUGCUGACCAUGGAAGAUCUGUUACAUUAAGAAUAUUGUCGGAUACUUUCAUUUUUGAGCACCUGCUAUCUGCCCUGGGAACUGUUCCAGGUGCAAGAGACACAGCAAUAAUAUAGAUUUAAAUAUAUAAUAUCUAAAGUUAGAUGUUUUGACUCAUGUGAAAAAAGAUUUAUAUUUAUAAACCGGUCAACUACUGAUGUUACCACUGAGCAAGAAGGCACCACAUAAGAUGGACUUCCCUUCACCCCACAGACUUUCUUUCCUUCUCCUUCCAAAAACUGAAAUUUGAGUCCUCCUUCUCUGAAGAAUUUUAAAAACAACUUCCAGUUAUUUCAAACUGUUAAAAAGGGCAGUUCUAGCUACUGACAGUGUAUUUAAAGUCUCCCCCCUGCCACCCACCCACACACACCCACACACACACACACACACACACACUGACAGUGUAUUUAAAGUCUCCCCCCUGCCACCCACCCACACACACACACACACACACACACACACACACUGACAGUGUAUUUAAAGUCUCCCCCCUGCCACACACACACACACACACACACACACACACACACACACACACUCCUUAAGAAAAAACAGGUCUGGUUUUCAAAGAACCAGGGGAGUUGAGGUUCUCCUUGAUCUGGCUGAACCAUUGCUGGUAAUCACUAACGUUCAUAUCAGUAUGAACCAAAAUUAUUAUCCAGAGUAACUCCUUCCAAACUGAAGAGGAAUGCAGUCGUCUGGCUUCAGUUUGUAGCCACAGAAUCUGAUCCUCAUCUCUACAUGUUCUACCGCCUCCUACACCUUAUUCCCUGCGGCUGGCAGCUAGAGAGGACUCCUCCACUGCUGUCUCUGGAACAGAGGUUGGCAAACUCUGGCCCACCACCUUUUUUUUGUAAAUAAAGUUUUUGCUGAAACACA